Non-coding RNA from Carassius carassius (crucian carp), 585 nucleotides. The record is from the annotation of a RefSeq genome assembly. Lineage: Eukaryota; Metazoa; Chordata; Actinopteri; Cypriniformes; Cyprinidae.
CUCUGAGAGUGUUUAUAGUGCUGUGAGUUUAACACUUCAUCACUGACACACACAACAAUCUUCAUCAACAUGACCUUCAUCAUCAUCUUCAUCUGGACUCUUUCAUACUGCUUUAUACUACAAGGGUGUAAAGCUCAGAUCACAGUCACUCAGACUCCAAUGAAAGCUGUCACACCAGGAGAAACUGUUGUGAUGAGCUGUAAACUCAGUACUCCUGCACCCUGCAGCCCAAACCCCUGUGUGUCCUGGUACUUACAGAAACCUGGAGAAGCUCCUAAACUCCUGAUUUAUUAUACAAGCAGCCGUCAGUCAGGAACUCCAUCUAGAUUCAGUGGCAGUGGAUCUAACAGUGAUUUCACUCUGACCAUCAGUGGAGUCCAGACUGAAGAUGCUGGACAUUAUUACUGUCAGAGUUACCACUGGAUCAACAGUAAAGAUGUGUUCACACAGUGAUUGUGAGUUGUACAAAAACCUGUGUCAGUCAGAGUCACAGUGACUGAACUGAUGCUGCAGCUGAUCAAACACUAUCACUCACUACUGACACACAGAGACCAAACACAGAACUACACAUGAGCUCACAACUGA